This 119-nucleotide ribosomal RNA is filed under the name Pteropus alecto (black flying fox). Lineage: Eukaryota; Metazoa; Chordata; Mammalia; Chiroptera; Pteropodidae. The record is from RNAcentral.
UCUUAUAGCCAUGCCACCCUGAACAAGCCCGAUCCCGUCUGAUCUCGGAAGUUAAGCAGGGUCGGGCCUGGUUAAUACUUGGAUGGGAGACCACCUAGGAAGACCAGGUGCUGUAGGCG